This 477-nucleotide long non-coding RNA is filed under the name Homo sapiens (human). RNAcentral describes it as "HSALNT0399473". The record is from RNAcentral. Lineage: Eukaryota; Metazoa; Chordata; Mammalia; Primates; Hominidae.
UUCUGCCAUGUGAGGACAGAGCCUUCCUGCUAUUGGGAGGAUGCAGCAACAAGGUGUCAUCUUGGAAGCAGGGAUCAGCCCUCACCAGAAAACCAAAUCUGCCACCACCUUGAACUUAGACUUCCCAGCCUUGAGAACUAACACUACAUUGGGAAGGAUUCAUCAUCAUGACCAGAUGUCACAUGGGUCUAUGAUGCCAAAAAAGGAAGAUCCCUGGAGAACACUGCUCCUAUUUGGCCAUUCUGUGUUCCAUCUCCCUCUCUUCUCCCCCCAACAGAGGGAGAGCUCUUGUGUUCCAUCUUGACAUGAGGACAUGUGUGUGUUGGCAGGAGAGGGUCCUGUGAUGAUGUCUGGCUAUCCAGGAGCUACUAUGGCAAUAAGCCACCUGCCCAUCAGAGCUACUACGACAGCCUUUGUCUUCACGACACACAACCUGGCACACAAUCUUCCCAAUCAACUGUACUCUAGACAAAGCUC